This 527-nucleotide long non-coding RNA is filed under the name Apteryx owenii (little spotted kiwi). RNAcentral's name for it is "lncRNA (ENSAOWG00000018515.1)". The record is from RNAcentral. Lineage: Eukaryota; Metazoa; Chordata; Aves; Apterygiformes; Apterygidae.
CCUACAUACUGUAUCCACUUGAGAGUCAGGGUUCUUAUAUCAGAAAAUACCUCAGCUAAUGUAUUGCUUCCAUAGGUACAUUACUUAAUGAUUCUGUUUUCCUUUCUCAAAUUCUACCAAAUAAAUUCAUUUACUCAAAAUACUAGUCAAGAAGAAUAUUUGUCAUUGUAUCUUUCCUUUCUCACAUGAUCAGAAAUGCUAUGAAUGUGAUGCUGCUUGUUGAAGAAUUGUUUAGGACAGACGCAGUCUCCAAAUUAACAGAUCCAGCAAGUCACUUUAAAAGUUAUGAGGCUGUGCCCUUCCAUAUCUCCUCGUGUGCAUGAGUGCUACCAGAAGAAUGUGCCUAGCACCGAAGGACAGGUGACGUGUGACAGUUGAGAGAAGGCUGAGAACUUUAAAGAAAAAACAAACAAAAUGCCAACAAGACAGAAAAGCCAACACUCUGCCAAGGCUGGCUGUAGGAAAGGAUGGCAAUCAUGCAGAAGCAGAGAUGAAAGUCUCAAAAUAAAAGAACGCUGAAAGAGACA